GCAAGAGGCUGCUUCCCUGGAUUCUGGUUCAAGUUCUCAGACGGUGGGCUCCCACGUCAGUGAUGUUCAAAACCGGAAGAGUGCCGGAAGUCAGAGCGGGAUCUGAAGUGCGACAGACCUGGGUUCAAAGCCCUGCUCCCGGCUGUGUGACCAUAGCAAGUGACUUGCUCUCUCUGGGCCCAAAUCCUCUUCCCUGGGGCCAUUUCCAAGCCUGCCAAACGCCUCUGUGUGAGUAGGGGUGAGGUGGCCUUCUCGGUGGACGUGGCCCUCCACAUGUUCUUGGGGGCCCAUCACAGCAUCUCUCUUGAGGGGUGGACUGGGACAGUGGGUGGAGAUGCCCGGACCAGCACCUGGCCACAGUGCACAGGUCAGCAGCUAGUGGAGAGAUUUCCCCCUCCUGUCUUGGUCCUGCCCCAGCCCCUGCCCCUGCCCCAAGACUUUUAAGGGCUUGUGCAGCCCCCUCAAAUGAACAGAUUCAAAACAAGAUAUUCCAAACUGAACUGAAUAACUCGCAGGACUGUGCAGAAUGAAAAAGGUGGACAUACCAGCCGUUGGCAAGGAUGCUGGGCCAACGGGCCCCCCAUGCUGCUGGUGAGGAUUUAGUGUCCAGCCACCCUGGAUGACAGUUUGGCAGAAUCAACUCAAGCGAACGACUUGCAACUCCUUGACCCAGCCGUGCUGUCCCCUGGGAAUAGAUCUGACCGAGGUGUGGGCCAAUGUUCACCAAAAGGCAGGGAGGAGAGGUCGUUCGUAGCAGCGGCUCCUCCUUCAACAGGAACUGUGAGCCACCAGAUGGAAGGAUGAGGAGGAUUUGCUGCAUCCACAUAAUGGAGUACGACACAGCGGUGGAAAGGAGCAGCUGACAGCCAGACACAAGGACAACAGGUGUCGGGCGUGUGGAACGGACGAGUCAGACAUUUAUGAACAGACCAGAGGAGCGGAAAUGCACACAGUGUUUUACGUCCGGCGCGUUCUGGUGAUGAGCUGGACGUAGGCAGCCAGACGGAGGCUUCGGGUGACGCUGCAGGGGAGCCCCCCGCAGCCCAUGGCAGGGACAGGAGCUCACAGCUGGGCGAAAGCUAGAAGACAUGCCGUCCCAGGAUCACUCUGGCUGCGGCAGGAAGCCAGGCCCUGAGGGCAUUCAAGGUCCCACGGCCCCACCGGCUACAGGAGUUUCCUUCCGCCGUCCUCUGGAAUAAAUGCCAGCUGUCAACUGCCCCCUCACUGCCCCGGCAGGUGCUCACCGCCCUCCCAACGAGGCAGGCAGUGCCAGAGAGCGGACUCGGUCUCCAGUCCAGCAGGCUGGACAUCACGGGGCUUCUCCAGAACCUCUCACCAUCGGUGGCUCUCAGCCGGGAGCAUCGGUGUUCCCAGGGGACGUUCGCCAAUGUCAGGUGACAUAAGCGGCUGUCACAACUCAGGGGAUGCUAUUGGCAUUGAGAGGAUGGGGGCCAGGGAUGCCGCUGAGCAUCCUACAGGGGCCAGGAUGCCCCGCAGAGAGAAUGACCCGCCCCAAUGGUGGUGGUGCCGAGGCUGAGACGUCACCCGUCUGCCGGCCUCGUGUCUGUCCCUCGGGGUCUGUGGGGCACUACACGUGGUGAUUCUGUACACUCUGCACACCCUUGUUGCACCCCCUUCCUGAUGCCCCCCUCAACUGGUCCUGAUUUGAGUGCCUUCUGUUCCCCUCGGGACCCCACACUGAUCCCCACCCAACUCGUCCCAUGCUCAGCCCCCUUCCCUCGGUUGUCUAUUCGCCCUGCUGCUCUCUUGGCUCGUGGGGUAUGGGUCUAAGAGCAUGGGGCCCUCGUCUCCCCAUUGCUCAUGGGGUAUCCUCGGUGCCCAGAACACUGGUCACGGCGUGUCGGUGCUCCAAAUGUACUUGCUGAACAGCCAAUGUGGCAAGGACCCAACUGGACCCCAGGCCUGACACCAAAGUCUUUUUUCCUCACCUGGCACAGGACAGCCGGGGUGGUGGUGGUGGUGGUGAUGCUCGCUUAGGAGGCAGGAAGAAUUUCAGGACAGUGACAAAGACACAUUGAACCCGACAAGGGGCCAUUCGGAGCACAGAGCCCUGCGUAGCUGCCUGGGGCACGUGGCCCGCGAGGCUGGCCCUGGCGGCAGGAGAGUUUGUACCGUCUCACAGUGCCCGCUGUGGUGACGAGGUCUGUGGCCACACCUCAGUACUCACAGCACGGCAGGCAGGGCCAGCUCUGGGCCUUGCACCCCGUGGAGUCGGGGGGCCGGAGCCCCUGCUCCCCGGGCCACCCCCUGAGCCUGCUCGCCGGCGGAGCAGGCACCGCUCUCCAAGGCCAGGUGCACUUUGCCUCCGUCCAAACAGCUGUCGCAGCUCCAAAGGCUUUGGAGAGUUCUGUGUUUUUCCUCUUCUAUUUUUAUUUUCUCAAAUCUAAGACCAAGAGGGGCCAGUGCCAGAGUUCUGAGGCCGUCUGAGCCAGUGUGAAGUGAUCCACAGGCGCAGGGAAACGCGUCUGGAAGAAGUCACUAACAAGGAACCUCCGGCUGGCUUUGAAGAACGAAGUGGCCACAUUGUGAAAGGUCCACAUGUAAAGGAGCUGAGAGUGGCCUCUAGGAGCUGAGAGUGACCUCAGCUGACAGCCAGCAAGGAAAGGUCGCGAGGGAUUGAAUUUAGCCAACAACCCGAAUGAACUUGAAGAAGACUCAGGCUCCUGGUGGGCACCAUACCAUCUCGCAGCUGAGAAAACCGAGGUCACAGAGAUGGCAGAGAGUUGCCCACAGCGAGGGACCCACGGCUAAGUAACCGAUCGCAGGCCCCUCUGCCCAACACACGCUGUCUCUGGACUCUGUGGCGUGAGAAUUCUCCUUCAUUCCAAACAGAUGCAGGCUUCAUCGAGCAGAUGCCUUGCCUGGUCCUCAUCUCCGGUGCCUGCAGCGGUGCUGGCAUCCAGCAGAUACCAGGAAUUAGUGCAUGAGCAGGUGAGGCCCUCCCGACCUAGCUUGUACCUUCCCGCUCUUCAUAGACACACGGGACAAAUACAUAGCGGGCUGCGAUGAUUGUAACAGCAACGGACAUUCACCCCUUCGUGAGAGGCAGCUGGGAGUAGUGGGGAGUGUGGCAACAACCACUCUUCGGCCCUAACCGAGAGUUCCAUGCAGGAAGGGGGCCCAGGGUAGCCAGAUCUGCCCAUUUCUCAAGAGAAGCCAGGAUGGGGCUUUUUUUCAUCCCCUACUUCUAGUUCUCAAAAACACGUUGGCCAUGAAUUCACUCUUUGAAGACAUAUAAACACCAUGCGGGGGUGGGGGCUGGAGUGGAUAAGACACGUCUGCAGGCCGCAUCUGGGCCCCCCUCUUCCGCCCCCGGUUUGUGGCUCUGGUCUUUGGCCUGGAAACAGAACAAAAGCUAAUUUGCGCAUCAGGACAGUGACAAGAGGGUUUGGAAAUCACAGGCGCUGGAACUGGUUAGGAGCAGCUGCUUCACUGGGGGCAACGGGGAAGAGCGAACAGUCUGGCCCUGGAACAGCUGCGGUUCUAACAUCCAUCAGGUGACCUCAGGGUGCGCUUCAAAGCGAGCAGGAACCUGAGCUGUCGCUGCGAGCUGCACCACCGAAUGCUGCUCUGUGCACAGUUAGGUGGUGGGCCCCUCCCUGCCUCCUCCAGAGCCCCAGGGCCCCUCCACAGCCUGAGCCGGGAGCCAACAGCAGCCCCCAAACCACUGAAAUAAUUCGCACUGGACAAUGUUGGCUUUGGGGCCUGGGCUGCUUUAGUUUUGGGUGUACACUUCCCCCACCCCGCCUUUCUUUUUUUCUUUCUUUCUUGUGCCUCUAUUUUAUUGGGAUGACUAAAUCUUUAAACUAUGUUAGCAGUAAACACAGCUAAUUUACCCCCUGCCUCUUUGAAACAGCUGUUGACAGCUGCACUGUAAUUCAAUCAAGGAUCUUUGUAGCAGAGCCUACCAAAUUCCCAUUUGUUGUUGGGUUCCAUCUCUCCUGCCUGGAGCCCCACACAGCUGCACCAAAUAUUGAUGAGCGCCCCUUUCUCCCCAGGGCCUGUAUGAUAAACAGCGUGUUAAUGGUGGGGGCCCAAGCAGAGAGUUCUUAGCAAACCAAGAGAACUCUAAUGUCCAGGAGUUGAGAGAAAAAACGACACACACAGACAUACACAGCCCCAAGAAUCAGAAC
Molecule: long non-coding RNA, 4154 nt
Organism: Canis lupus familiaris (dog)
Lineage: Eukaryota; Metazoa; Chordata; Mammalia; Carnivora; Canidae
Exons: 9
Source: RefSeq, a predicted model, not a curated record